UACAGAGACUGCAAGCGUUAUUCGGAUUCACUGGGCGUAAAGGGUGCGCAGGCGGUUGUGUGUGUCAGGUGUGAAAGCCCGGGGCUUAACCCCGGAAUUGCGCCUGAAACUACAUGACUAGAGCAUUGGAGAGGGUAGCGGAAUUCACGGUGUAGCAGUGAAAUGCGUAGAUAUCGUGAGGAACACCAGAGGCGAAGGCGGCUACCUGGACAAUUGCUGACGCUCAGGCACGAAAGCGUGGGGAGCAAAAGGG
RNAcentral lists this ribosomal RNA (253 nucleotides) under uncultured bacterium. RNAcentral's name for it is "partial 16S ribosomal RNA". It matches the Rfam family "Bacterial small subunit ribosomal RNA", at positions 524 to 776 of the family's 1533-position model. The record is from RNAcentral. RNAcentral also lists the same sequence under 1 other name.